AGAGAGUGUUUUUGCGCCUCUUUCUGUCAAAAGAUACCCUCUGUGGGUCAUGCAAAUCAAUAUAUAGUUCGUAAAAAAUAGCAGAAACUGGCCCAGGUCCACGAGACUGGUGCGCAGUGCUGGUUUUGUUGCUUAGCAGUAGGCGCGACACUCAGAAAUAUCACUCAACGUUGAUGCCCAGGCCCCUGGCAGUGAACUCACUGAAGAGGCU
Molecule: long non-coding RNA, 211 nt
Filed under: Vigna radiata
Lineage: Eukaryota; Viridiplantae; Streptophyta; Magnoliopsida; Fabales; Fabaceae
Description: long non-coding RNA (VRAD_LNC005179)
Source: RNAcentral